CUCAAGAGGCAGAGGUUGCAGUGAGCCUAGAUCAUACCACUGCAUGCCAGCCUGGGCAACAGAGCGAGACUCCACCUCACCAAAAAAACCAAAAAACAAAAAGGUAGUUUCAAUAUUGAGUUUCUUGUUAAAUUCAUAUCUCUUGUCUUGUGUAUUGUAGGUCACCAGUCAUAACUCUGUCAGGAAUGUAAGAGAAAAAUGUGAAAGGCAAUAAAAAAUACAGAAUUUGAAGGAAGGAUCAUGUAUCCUUAGGAAUACACGAUGUGGAAAAUGUGGAAGAUUUAAACUUCCACAUCACUAGUUUUGUGGUAGUUUUUAAGAUGCAUAAAAAAGGAAAUUUGGAGCAUCCAAGUUCUGAAGUUGUCCAGCUUUUUAAUUAAUGGUGAAUUUAAAAGGUAUUUGUUUACCAUCUUCAUUGAAUAAGGUGCUCAAUAGGUGAUUUCCACAUUGUUAUUUAUGAAACAUAAAUAAAUCACUUUCUCUACUAUACACAGGUCAGAGAACAAUUCCAGGCUCAGAUUUAAAUUGGGAACCAGAAUUGGGAGAUCUGAGCCUCCUGCCCUUUGUUCUGAAAAAUGGACCAUGCCCGCUUGAUGAGAGUAACAGUUUAGGACAUUCUCCAUUAUACACUGACAACUUCACACCACAUUUCAUCUUUUCUACUACCCUACUCUUGAUGGCUUUCCUGGCUCAGCGUGGAGAGGGCGGUGGGCAUGGGAGAAUUGAGCAUAACCUCAGCAUCAAGCAUCUCCUCAAGCUCUGAUGAGGAAAACUCCAGGGUCCUCUUAAUCUACUUCUUCAAAGAUGACUCCUAAGGAAAGGUGACAAUGAUAAGCGAGGAGAAAAUCUUCAUUGAUGGCUCCUGGCGCAGCUUGUAAGUGAAAUGAAGAUUCAGUGACAAUCUGUGUUAGGAGUUCUCAAAUUUUAAUGUGCAUAUGAGUCACCUGGACAUCUUGUCAAAUUGCAGAGUCUGAUUCAGAAGGUUGGGACCUGAGAGAGUGGUUUUCUGACAAGCUCUUAGGUAAUGCUGACCUUGCUGGUUCACAGGCCACACUGAGUAGCAAUGGUCUAGGCCAGUCAUUAGAAGCACCUGAGGGGACUGUUUAACACUCUUUCUUUGGCUAGAGUCACACAGUAAAGAAGAAAAAAAAACCUCCUGAUAUUCAGGUGUUAUGCCAGACAAAUUACAUAAAAAUCUUUGGAUCGAACCCCUGCAUCAGUAUUUUCUAUACGUAGUGAUAUGGUUUGGAGGUUUGUCCCCUCCAAAUCUUAUGCUGAAAUAUGUUUGAGGUGGGGCCUAGUGGGACCUAAGGAGAGUCUCACUCCCACUAUGCCCCUCCCCGCAAUAACACCAAGUCUGUUUCCAGGCAGUUGGCAAGCAGGAUUGAGAACUUACUCCAGCCUACCUGUUUUCCAGCUGCGAAAGCAAGUAGGGCUAUGGGGUCUGCAGACUGGAUUCACACCCUUCCCCGAGUUCUGGCCAGGAGACUUCUUGAUUAGUUAUAAUUGUUAUGAAGUUCAUCUGGAGGUUUCCUUCUCCCUGUGACCCUUCCCCAGUGCCUCUGGCAGCCCUCUCUGAGGACUCCUAUGAGGCAAGGCAGAAAUGGCUUGCUAGGGGACCCAGCGAGCCCACAGGACUUUUCCUGUGUUUUCUUUUACCCCUUAUUUCACUUGGCUCUCUAAAUUGACUCAGCUCCAGGUAAGGUCAGUAUCUUCUCCUGUGAUCCAGACCUUCAGGUUUCACAGUGAGAAUUUGAUUUUAGGGGUGGACAAUUCCCCUUUCCCACUUCCACAGCUUGGACACUCACAGAGUUUGGGGUGUUUCCUGAGUCCUGCAGGAGCAAUCUGCUUUCUUCGGAGGGUCUGUAGGUUCUCUUAGCUUUCGUGAUUGAUUCCUGAAGUUGUUCUGAAGUAAAAGUUCAUGAUGUGGGCCUCCACACACUGCUCUGUCUGUCCGAGUGGGAGCUGCAAUGUAGUCUGCUUCUUGUCUGCCUUGAUCUCUCCAGUCAGCAUAAUGUUUUUGAAGUUUAUCUGUGUUGUAUUGUGUUUCAGUACUUAAUUCCUUUUUAUGACUGAAUAAUAUUAAAUCACUUGGAUAAACCACAUUUUAAAAUACAUUUAUUAGUUGAUGGACAUUUGGGUUUUUUUUGGCUAUUGUGAAUAGUACUGCUAUGAACAUUCAUGUAUAGGUUUUUAUUUGAAAUCUGUUUUUAAUUAUUUUGGGUAUAUACUUAGGAGUGGAAUUGCUGAGUCCUAUGGUACUUCUUCUAUUUUUAACUUAUUUAGAAACUGACAAACUAUUUUCUUUUCUUUUUUUGAGACGGAGUUUCACUCUUGUUACCCAGACUGUAGUGCAAUGGCGCGAUCUCAGCUCACCGCAUCCUCCGCCUCCUGGGUUCAAGCAAUUCUCCUGCCUCAGCCUUGCGGAAUAGCUGGGACUACAAGCGCGCACCACCAUGCCCAGCUAAUUUUUGUAUUUUCAGUAGAGAUGGGGUUUCACCAUGUUGACCAGGGUGGUCUCUAUCUCUUGACCUCGUGAUCCACCCGCCUCGGCCUCCCAAAGUGCUGGGAUUAUAGGCGUUAGCCACCGCGCCCUGCCUCUCUUUUUUUUUUGAGACGGAGUUUCGCUCUUGUCACCCAGGCUGGAACGCAAUGGCGUGAUCUCGGCUCACCGCAACCUCCGCCUCCCGGGUUCAGGCAAUUCUCCUGCCUCAGCCUCCUGAGUAGCUGGGAUUACAGGCACGCGCCACCAUGCCCAGCUAAUUUUUUGUAUUUUUAGUAGAGAUGGGGUUUCACCAUGUUGACCAGGGUGGUCUCUAUCUCUUGACCUCGUGAUCCACCCGCCUCGGCCUCCCAAAGUGCUGGGAUUACAGGCGUGAGCCACCGCGCCUGGCCACAAACUAUUUUCAAAAGUGACUGCAUAAUUUUACAUUUCCUCCAAGACUACAUGAGAAUUCCUUUUUUUUCUCUGUGACUCUAGCCAAAGAAGAGAAUUCCAAUUUUUUCAUAUUCUCAUCAACACUUGUUAUAUUCAGUUUUUUGAGAAAAAUUAUAACUAUUGUAGUGGAUGUGGAGUGGUACCUCAUUGUGGUUUUGAUUUGGAUUUCCCUAAUAACUAAUGAUAUUGAGCAUCUAUUCAUGUAAUUUUUGACCAUCUGUAUAACUUAUGUGGAGAAAUGUCUAUGUAAGUCCUUUGCCUGUUUACAAAUUGGGUGUUGAGUUGUAAGAAUUAUUUAUAUAUUCAGGACACUAGACAAUUAACAGAUAUAUGAUUUGCAAGUAUGUAUUCCCAUUCCAUAGGUUGCCUUUUCACUCUGUUGAUAGUGUCUUUUGAUGCACAAAAAUAAAAAAAUAUUUGAUGAAGCCUAUUUAUUUAUUUAUUUAUUUAUUAACAGGGUCUUGCUCUGUUACCAGUCUAGAGUUAGCACCAUCAUAGCUCACUGAAGCCUGAAACUCCUGAGGUCAAGAGAUCCUCCCACCUUACCCUCCUGAGAAGCUGGGACUACAGGCAUGUGUGCUUAGCUAAUUUUUUUUU
Molecule: non-coding RNA, 3535 nt
Organism: Callithrix jacchus (white-tufted-ear marmoset)
Lineage: Eukaryota; Metazoa; Chordata; Mammalia; Primates; Cebidae
Source: RefSeq, a predicted model, not a curated record